Molecule: long non-coding RNA, 398 nt
Organism: Erinaceus europaeus (western European hedgehog)
Lineage: Eukaryota; Metazoa; Chordata; Mammalia; Eulipotyphla; Erinaceidae
Exons: 2
Source: RefSeq, a predicted model, not a curated record
UAGGAGUCCCCCUGUAGUUGGGAGCACUAAGCCUCAGUGCUUAGUUCCAGCCCAGAUGGAGGAAUGGGGUCCAGAUGGAGCCUCCAGGCUGAAACCACUUGAUACCCAUGACAGGAAUCUACGAAGCCCUGGUGCUCAGUGCUGGAGGAGGGUGAGCUUCUUGGGAGAUUGAAAGACAAGAAAAGAGAGAAGAGACAUUGGAUGUGGAGAGGAGGGAAGGUAAGAUUGACAGCUGAUGUUACCUAAAGACAAUGGAAACCAGCAGACAGUGGAGCAAGCCCUCAGGAAACCACCUAGAAUCCCCAUCCAGCAAGAAAGCUUUCUGAUACUGGGGUGAAAUAAAGCACUCUUUGGCAUGACCUCUCCUGGAGGUCUUGGAGGUCUACAUGCCAGUCCUA